This 497-nucleotide ribosomal RNA is filed under the name uncultured bacterium. RNAcentral's name for it is "partial 16S ribosomal RNA". It matches the Rfam family "Bacterial small subunit ribosomal RNA", at positions 28 to 507 of the family's 1533-position model. The record is from RNAcentral.
GAUGAACGCUGGCGGCGUGCCUAAUACAUGCAAGUCGAGCGAACGGACGAGAAGCUUGCUUCUCUGAUGUUAGCGGCGGACGGGUGAGUAACACGUGGAUAACCUACCUAUAAGACUGGGAUAACUUCGGGAAACCGGAGCUAAUACCGGAUAAUAUUUUGAACCGCAUGGUUCAAAAGUGAAAGACGGUCUUGCUGUCACUUAUAGAUGGAUCCGCGCUGCAUUAGCUAGUUGGUAAGAUAACGGCUUACCAAGGCAACGAUGCAUAGCCGACCUGAGAGGGUGAUCGGCCACACUGGAACUGAGACACGGUCCAGACUCCUACGGGAGGCAGCAGUAGGGAAUCUUCAGCAAUGGGCGAAAGCCUGACGGAGCAACGCCGCGUGAGUGAUGAAGGUCUUCGGAUCGUAAAACUCUGUUAUUAGGGAAGAACAUAUGUGUAAGUAACUGUGCACAUCUUGACGGUACCUAAUCAGAAAGCCACGGCUAACUACGUG